GGUUAAGCGACUAAGCGUACACGGUGGAUGCCCUGGCAGUCAGAGGCGAUGAAGGGCGUGCUAAUCUGCGAUAAGCGCCGGUAAGGUGAUAUGAACCGUUAUAACCGGCGAUACCCGAAUGGGGAAACCCAGUGUGACUCGUCACACUAUCAUUAACUGAAUCCAUAGGUUAAUGAGGCGAACCGGGGGAACUGAAACAUCUAAGUACCCCGAGGAAAAGAAAUCAACCGAGAUUCCCCCAGUAGCGGCGAGCGAACGGGGAGGAGCCCAGAGCCUGAAUCAGCAUGUGUGUUAGUGGAAGCGUCUGGAAAGGCGCGCGAUACAGGGUGACAGCCCCGUACACAAAAGCGCAUGUGCUGUGAGCUCGAUGAGUAGGGCGGGACACGUGGUAUCCUGUCUGAAUAUGGGGGGACCAUCCUCCAAGGCUAAAUACUCCUGACUGACCGAUAGUGAACCAGUACCGUGAGGGAAAGGCGAAAAGAACCCCGGCGAGGGGAGUGAAAAAGAACCUGAAACCGUGUACGUACAAGCAGUGGGAGCCCCACCACCAAAGCAUUCUCUGGUGUUGAAGGCCCUGCAAAGCAGCAUCGCGGUGGCGGAGCGUCGUUUGCGACGCCCAACACACAAAACAAGCGGUGAGUGCUUUGGGGUGGGGUGACUGCGUACCUUUUGUAUAAUGGGUCAGCGACUUAUAUUCUGUAGCAAGGUUAACCGUAUAGGGGAGCCGGAGGGAAACCGAGUCUUAACCGGGCGUUAAGUUGCAGGGUAUAGACCCGAAACCCGGUGAUCUAGCCAUGGGCAGGUUGAAGGUUGGGUAACACUAACUGGAGGACCGAACCGACUAAUGUUGAAAAAUUAGCGGAUGACCUGUGGCUGGGGGUGAAAGGCCAAUCAAACCGGGAGAUAGCUGGUUCUCCCCGAAAGCUAUUUAGGUAGCGCCUCGUGAAUUCAUCUCCGGGGGUAGAGCACUGUUUCGGCUAGGGGGCCAUCCCGGCUUACCAACCCGAUGCAAACUGCGAAUACCGGAGAAUGUUAUCACGGGAGACACACGGCGGGUGCUAACGUCCGUCGUGAAGAGGGAAACAACCCAGACCGCCAGCUAAGGUCCCAAAGUCAUGGUUAAGUGGGAAACGAUGUGGGAAGGCCCAGACAGCCAGGAUGUUGGCUUAGAAGCAGCCAUCAUUUAAAGAAAGCGUAAUAGCUCACUGGUCGAGUCGGCCUGCGCGGAAGAUGUAACGGGGCUAAACCAUGCACCGAAGCUGCGGCAGCGACACUAUGUGUUGUUGGGUAGGGGAGCGUUCUGUAAGCCUGUGAAGGUGUGUCGUGAGGCAUGCUGGAGGUAUCAGAAGUGCGAAUGCUGACAUAAGUAACGAUAAAGCGGGUGAAAAGCCCGCUCGCCGGAAGACCAAGGGUUCCUGUCCAACGUUAAUCGGGGCAGGGUGAGUCGACCCCUAAGGCGAGGCCGAAAGGCGUAGUCGAUGGGAAACGGGUUAAUAUUCCCGUACUUGGUGUUACUGCGAAGGGGGGACGGAGAAGGCUAUGUUGGCCGGGCGACGGUUGUCCCGGUUUAAGCGUGUAGGUGUGUGUUCCAGGUAAAUCCGGUUCACUUUAACACUGAGGCGUGACGACGAGGCACUACGGUGCUGAAGCAACAAAUGCCCUGCUUCCAGGAAAAGCCUCUAAGCAUCAGGUAACAUCAAAUCGUACCCCAAACCGACACAGGUGGUCAGGUAGAGAAUACCAAGGCGCUUGAGAGAACUCGGGUGAAGGAACUAGGCAAAAUGGUGCCGUAACUUCGGGAGAAGGCACGCUGACACGUAGGUGAAGUGAUUUACUCAUGGAGCUGAAGUCAGUCGAAGAUACCAGCUGGCUGCAACUGUUUAUUAAAAACACAGCACUGUGCAAACACGAAAGUGGACGUAUACGGUGUGACGCCUGCCCGGUGCCGGAAGGUUAAUUGAUGGGGUCAGCGCAAGCGAAGCUCCUGAUCGAAGCCCCGGUAAACGGCGGCCGUAACUAUAACGGUCCUAAGGUAGCGAAAUUCCUUGUCGGGUAAGUUCCGACCUGCACGAAUGGCGUAAUGAUGGCCAGGCUGUCUCCACCCGAGACUCAGUGAAAUUGAACUCGCUGUGAAGAUGCAGUGUACCCGCGGCAAGACGGAAAGACCCCGUGAACCUUUACUAUAGCUUGACACUGAACAUUGAGCCUUGAUGUGUAGGAUAGGUGGGAGGCUUUGAAGUGUGGACGCCAGUCUGCAUGGAGCCGACCUUGAAAUACCACCCUUUAAUGUUUGAUGUUCUAACGUGGACCCGUAAUCCGGGUUGCGGACAGUGUCUGGUGGGUAGUUUGACUGGGGCGGUCUCCUCCUAAAGAGUAACGGAGGAGCACGAAGGUUGGCUAAUCCUGGUCGGACAUCAGGAGGUUAGUGCAAUGGCAUAAGCCAGCUUGACUGCGAGCGUGACGGCGCGAGCAGGUGCGAAAGCAGGUCAUAGUGAUCCGGUGGUUCUGAAUGGAAGGGCCAUCGCUCAACGGAUAAAAGGUACUCCGGGGAUAACAGGCUGAUACCGCCCAAGAGUUCAUAUCGACGGCGGUGUUUGGCACCUCGAUGUCGGCUCAUCACAUCCUGGGGCUGAAGUAGGUCCCAAGGGUAUGGCUGUUCGCCAUUUAAAGUGGUACGCGAGCUGGGUUUAGAACGUCGUGAGACAGUUCGGUCCCUAUCUGCCGUGGGCGCUGGAGAACUGAGGGGGGCUGCUCCUAGUACGAGAGGACCGGAGUGGACGCAUCACUGGUGUUCGGGUUGUCAUGCCAAUGGCACUGCCCGGUAGCUAAAUGCGGAAGAGAUAAGUGCUGAAAGCAUCUAAGCACGAAACUUGCCCCGAGAUGAGUUCUCCCUGAGACUUAGAGUCUCCUGAAGGAACGUUGAAGACGACGACGUUGAUAGGCCGGGUGUGUAAGCGCAGCGAUGCGUUGAGCUAACCGGUACUAAUGAACCGUGAGGCUUAACCUU
This 3007-nucleotide ribosomal RNA is filed under the name Salmonella enterica subsp. enterica serovar Gaminara. RNAcentral's name for it is "23S ribosomal RNA". It matches the Rfam family "Bacterial large subunit ribosomal RNA". Lineage: Bacteria; Pseudomonadati; Pseudomonadota; Gammaproteobacteria; Enterobacterales; Enterobacteriaceae. The record is from RNAcentral.